RNAcentral lists this ribosomal RNA (379 nucleotides) under uncultured Bacteroides sp. RNAcentral's name for it is "bacterial SSU rRNA". It matches the Rfam family "Bacterial small subunit ribosomal RNA", at positions 22 to 390 of the family's 1533-position model. The record is from RNAcentral. Lineage: Bacteria; Pseudomonadati; Bacteroidota; Bacteroidia; Bacteroidales; Bacteroidaceae.
GCUCAGGAUGAACGCUAGCUACAGGCUUAACACAUGCAAGUCGAGGGGCAGCAUGGUCUUAGCUUGCUAAGGCUGAUGGCGACCGGCGCACGGGUGAGUAACACGUAUCCAACCUGCCGCCUACUCUUGGCCAGCCUUCUGAAAGGAAGAUUAAUCCAGGAUGGGAUCAUGAGUUCACAUGUCCGCAUGAUUAAAGGUAUUUUCCGGUAGACGAUGGGGAUGCGUUCCAUUAGAUAGUAGGCGGGGUAACGGCCCACCUAGUCAACGAUGGAUAGGGGUUCUGAGAGGAAGGUCCCCCACAUUGGAACUGAGACACGGUCCAAACUCCUACGGGAGGCAGCAGUGAGGAAUAUUGGUCAAUGGGCGAUGGCCUGAACCA